GAUGAACGCUGGCGGCGUGCCUAAUACAUGCAAGUCGAGCGAACAGACGAGGAGCUUGCUCCUCUGACGUUAGCGGCGGACGGGUGAGUAACACGUGGAUAACCUACCUAUAAGACUGGGAUAACUUCGGGAAACCGGAGCUAAUACCGGAUAAUAUAUUGAACCGCAUGGUUCAAUAGUGAAAGACGGUUUUGCUGUCACUUAUAGAUGGAUCCGCGCCGCAUUAGCUAGUUGGUAAGGUAACGGCUUACCAAGGCGACGAGGCGUAGACGACCUGAGAGGGUGAUCGGCCACACUGGAACAGAGACGCGGUCCAGACUCCUACGGGAGGCAGCAGUAGGGUAUGGUCCGCAAUGGGCGAAAGCUUGACGGAGCAACGCCGCGUGAGUGAUGAAGGUCUUCGGAUCGUAAAACUCUGUUAUUAGGGAAGAACAAAUGUGUAAGUAACUAUGCACGUCUUGACGGUACCUAAUCAGAAAGCCACGGCUAACUACGUG
RNAcentral lists this ribosomal RNA (497 nucleotides) under uncultured bacterium. RNAcentral describes it as "partial 16S ribosomal RNA". It matches the Rfam family "Bacterial small subunit ribosomal RNA", at positions 28 to 507 of the family's 1533-position model. The record is from RNAcentral.